RNAcentral lists this ribosomal RNA (434 nucleotides) under uncultured bacterium. RNAcentral's name for it is "partial 16S ribosomal RNA". It matches the Rfam family "Bacterial small subunit ribosomal RNA", at positions 38 to 507 of the family's 1533-position model. The record is from RNAcentral.
GGGGGGGGGGGGGGGGGGGCCUAGGAGGGGCAGGGGGAACGGACCGGGCGGGGUUGGUGGCGGAGGGGUGGGGAACGCGGGGGAACGUGCCGUUAGGUGCGGAAUAACUCAGGGGAACUUGUGCUCAGACCGAAUGUGCCCUUCGGGGGAAAGAUUUAUCGCCGUUAGAGCGGCCCGCGUCUGAUUAGCUAGUUGGGUGAGGUAAUGGCUCCCCCAGGCGACGAUCAGUAGCUGGGCUGAGAGGAUGAGCAGCCACAUUGGGACUGAGACACGGCCCAAACUCCUACGGGAGGCAGCAGUGGGGAAUCUUGCGCAAUGGGCGAAAGCCUGACGCAGCCAUGCCGCGUGAAUGAUGAAGGUCUUAGGAUUGUAAAAUUCUUUCACCGGGGACGAUAAUGACGGUACCCGGAGAAGAAGCCCCGGCUAACUUCGUG